GACGCGGAACGCCUCAUAAUCAAAGAUUUACAGAGACAGACAUAUCCAGAGGAACUGAAUCUUCUGAAGAAAGGCUCUCGGCUGCCACUCCACAAUGAGAUGCAUCGCCUCGACGCCUUUCUGGACAAUGAUGGUGUGAUCAAGGUGGGAGGUAGACUCGGUGACUCAAAUCUCCCUCACGCAGCCAAACAUCCUGCGAUCAUUCCGAAGGAACAUCACGUCACGAAGAUGAUCAUCGUCCACUGUCAUGAAAAGGCUAAACAUCAAGGUAAAGGAAUGACCAUCAACGAAAUCAGGUCAAAGGGCUACUGGAUAUCGGGGAUUGGUCGAGCCGUGGCCUCUCAUCUUCGCCAAUGUGUGAUGUGUAGAAAGCUCAGGAGACACACAGAAGAGCAAAGAAUGGCCGAUCUCCCACCAGAGCGUUUGGAUCCAUCUCCACCAUUUACAUACUGUGGAAUGGACUGCUUUGGACCCUUUUACACCAAAAAAGGACGGCGUGUGUGCAAAAGAUAUGGCCUUCUCUUCACCUGCUUCUCCUCCAGAGCCAUUCAUAUCGAAAUGCUGGAGGACAUGUCAACAGAUUCCUUCAUAAAUGGACUGCGCUGCUUCAUUGCCAUACGUGGUGCAGUGCGCCAGAUAAAAUCUGACCAAGGAAGCAACUUCCUAGGAGCUAAAAAUGAACUGAAGGAAGCUCUUAAGGAAGUUGAUAUUGACAAACUGGCAAUCUUUCUCUCUGAGAAUCAGUGCGACUUCAUCAUGAAUGCACCAGGUUCAAGCCACGUCGGCGGAGUGUGGGAGCGUCAAAUUAGGACGGUCAGGAGUGUCCUCAACUCGACCCUCUCUCUCUCUCCUGGAAAUCUGGACGAUGCGUCCCUCCGAGCAUUCUUCUAUGAAGCAAUGACAAUAGUUAAUAGUCGCCCUCUCACUGUUGAGAACCUCAAUGAUCCCAACAGUCUUGAGCCGCUUACCCCUAACCAACUUCUUACCAUGAAGUCUACCCCAGCUCUUCCUCCCCCUGGCAAGUUCAUCAGAGAAGAUAUGUAUGCGAGAAAGAGGUGGCGCCAUGUACAGUACUUAGCGGAGCAGUUCUGGAGCCGUUGGCGUAAAGAGUAUUUAUCCAACAUCGCCAUCCGGCAACGCUGGCACACCCCGAAGAGAAACCUACAAAAAGGGGAUGUAGUGAUGAUGAAAAAUGAUGAUCUGCCCAGAAAUGAAUGGAGGUUGGGUAGAGUUUCAGAAACUACAGUGGAUAGGGAUGGACUGGUUA
Molecule: long non-coding RNA, 1267 nt
Filed under: Gadus morhua (Atlantic cod)
Lineage: Eukaryota; Metazoa; Chordata; Actinopteri; Gadiformes; Gadidae
Description: lncRNA (ENSGMOG00000024437.1)
Source: RNAcentral